GGAAGGUUGGCUGAGUGGUUUAAAGCAUCCGCUUGAUAAGCGGACGUACCUCUUGGGGUACCGCGGGUUCGAAUCCCGCACCUUAUA
Molecule: transfer RNA, 87 nt
Filed under: Erythrobacter sp.
Lineage: Bacteria; Pseudomonadati; Pseudomonadota; Alphaproteobacteria; Sphingomonadales; Erythrobacteraceae
Description: tRNA-Ile
Rfam family: tRNA
About the family: Transfer RNA (tRNA) molecules are approximately 80 nucleotides in length. Their secondary structure includes four short double-helical elements and three loops (D, anti-codon, and T loops).
Source: RNAcentral